RNAcentral lists this non-coding RNA (21 nucleotides) under Caenorhabditis elegans. The record is from RNAcentral. Lineage: Eukaryota; Metazoa; Nematoda; Chromadorea; Rhabditida; Rhabditidae.
UACAAAAAAAGGACAUAUUGU